Molecule: ribosomal RNA, 253 nt
Filed under: uncultured bacterium
Lineage: Bacteria
Description: partial 16S ribosomal RNA
Rfam family: Bacterial small subunit ribosomal RNA
Source: RNAcentral
UACAGAGGGUGCAAGCGUUGUUCGGAAUUAUUGGGCGUAAAGCGCGUGUAGGCGGCUUUGCAAGUCGGGUGUGAAAGCCCUCAGCUCAACUGAGGAAGUGCGCCCGAAACUGCAGAGCUUGAGUGCCGGAGAGGGUGGCGGAAUUCCCCAAGUAGAGGUGAAAUUCGUAGAUAUGGGGAGGAACACCGGUGGCGAAGGCGGCCACCUGGACGGUAACUGACGCUGAGGUGCGAAAGCCAGGGGAGCAAACGGG